Danio rerio (zebrafish) is the source of this 82-nucleotide non-coding RNA. NCBI's taxonomy places the organism in Eukaryota, Metazoa, Chordata, Actinopteri, Cypriniformes, Danionidae. The record is from Rfam.
GGUAGCGUGGCCGAGGGGUCUAAGGCGCUGGAUUUAGGCUCCAGUCUCUUCUGGGGCGUGGGUUCGAAUCCCAACGCUGCCA